GAUGAACGCUGGCGGCGUGCCUAAUACAUGCAAGUCGAGCGAAUGGAUUAAGAGCUUGCUCUUAUGAAGUUAGCGGCGGACGGGUGAGUAACACGUGGGUAACCUGCCCAUAAGACUGGGAUAACUCCGGGAAACCGGGGCUAAUACCGGAUAACAUUUUGAACCGCAUGGUUCGAAAUUGAAAGGCGGCUUCGGCUGUCACUUAUGGAUGGACCCGCGUCGCAUUAGCUAGUUGGUGAGGUAACGGCUCACCAAGGCAACGAUGCGUAGCCGACCUGGGAGGGUGAGCGGCACCACUGGGACUGAGACACGGCCCAGACUCCUACGGGAGGCAGCAGUAGGGAAUCUUCCGCAAUGGACGAAAGUCUGACGGAGCAACGCCGCGUGAGUGAUGAAGGCUUUCGGGUCGUAAAACUCUGUUGUUAGGGAAGAACAAGUGCUAGUUGAAUAAGCUGGCACCUUGACGGUACCUAACCAGAAAGCCACGGCUAACUACGUGCCAGCCGCCGCUGUAA
RNAcentral lists this ribosomal RNA (515 nucleotides) under uncultured bacterium. Its description in RNAcentral is "partial 16S ribosomal RNA". It matches the Rfam family "Bacterial small subunit ribosomal RNA", at positions 28 to 523 of the family's 1533-position model. The record is from RNAcentral.